CAGUAGCCACGGUAAUACGAAGGGGGCUAGCGUUGUUCGGAUUUACUGGGCGUAAAGCGCACGUAGGCGGAUUCUUAAGUCAGAGGUGAAAUCCCAAGGCUCAACCUUGGAACUGCCUUUGAUACUGGGGAUCUCGAGUCCGGGAGAGGUGAGUGGAACUGCGAGUGUAGAGGUGAAAUUCGUAGAUAUUCGCAAGAACACCAGUGGCGAAGGCGGCUCACUGGCCCGGUACUGACGCUGAGGUGCGAAAGCGUGGGGAGCAAACAGGAUUAGAUACCCCCGUAGUCCCUGUCUCUUAUAC
RNAcentral lists this ribosomal RNA (301 nucleotides) under uncultured bacterium. RNAcentral's name for it is "partial 16S ribosomal RNA". It matches the Rfam family "Bacterial small subunit ribosomal RNA", at positions 509 to 807 of the family's 1533-position model. The record is from RNAcentral.